UGGGGGAUAUUGCACAGUGGGGGAAACCCUGAUGCAGCGACGCCGCGUGGAGGAAGAAGGUUUUCGGAUUGUAAACUCCUGUCGUUAGGGACGAUAAUGACGGUACCUAACAAGAAAGCACCGGCUAACUACGUGCCAGCAGCCGCGGUAAAACGUAGGGUGCAAGCGUUGUCCGGAAUUACUGGGUGUAAAGGGAGCGCAGGCGGACCGGCAAGUUGGAAGUGAAAACUAUGGGCUCAACCCAUAAAUUGCUUUCAAAACUGCUGGCCUUGAGUAGUGCAGAGGUAGGUGGAAUUCCCGGUGUAGCGGUGGAAUGCGUAGAUAUCGGGAGGAACACCAGUGGCGAAGGCGACCUACUGUGCACCAACUGACGCUGAGGCUCGAAAGCAUGGGUAGCAAACAGGAUUAGAUACCCUGGUAGUCCAUGCCGUAAACGAUGAUUACUAGGUGUUGGAGGAUUGACCCCUUCAGUGCCGCAGUUAACACAAUAAGUAAUCCACCUGGGGAGUACGACCGCAAGGUUGAAACUCAAAGGAAUUGACGGGGGCCCGCACAAGCAGUGGAGUAUGUGAUUUAAUUCGAAGCAACGCGAAGAACCUUACCAGGUCUUGACAUCCGAUGCAUAGCUUAGAGAUAAGUGAAGUCCUUCGGGACAUCGAGACAGGUGGUGCAUGGUUGUCGUCAGCUCGUGUCGUGAGAUGUUGGGUUAAGUCCCGCAACGAGCGCAACCCUUAUUGCCAGUUACUACGAAAGAGGACUCUGGCGAGACUGCCGUUGACAAAACGGAGGAAGGUGGGGAUGACGUCAAAUCAUCAUGCCCUUUAUGACCUGGGCUACACACGUACUACAAUGGCGUUUAACAAAGAGAAGCAAGACCGCGAGGUGGAGCAAAACUCAAAAACAACGUCUCAGUUCAGAUUGCAGGCUGCAACUCGCCUGCAUGAAGUCGGAAUUGCUAGUAAUCGCGGAUCAGCAUGCCGCGGUGAAUACGUUCCC
Molecule: ribosomal RNA, 996 nt
Filed under: uncultured organism
Description: bacterial SSU rRNA
Rfam family: Bacterial small subunit ribosomal RNA
Source: RNAcentral